Molecule: ribosomal RNA, 501 nt
Filed under: uncultured bacterium
Lineage: Bacteria
Description: partial 16S ribosomal RNA
Rfam family: Bacterial small subunit ribosomal RNA
Source: RNAcentral
AUUGAACGCUGGCGGCAGGCUUAACACAUGCAAGUCGAGCGGGGGAAGGUAGCUUGCUACCGGACCUAGCGGCGGACGGGUGAGUAAUGCUUAGGAAUCUGCCUAUUAGGGGGGGACAACAUCACGAAAGGGAUGAUAAUACCGCAUACGUACUAAGGGAGAAAGCAGGGGAUAUUCGGACCUUGCGCUAAUAGAUGAGCGUAAGUCGGAUUAGCUAGUCGGUGGGGUAAAUGCCUACCAAGGCGACGAUCUGUAGCGGGUCUGAGAGGAUGAUCCGCCACACUGGGACUGAGACACGCCCCAGACUCCUACGGGAGGCAGCAGUGGGGAAUAUUGGACAAUGGGGGGAACCCUGAUCCAGCCAUGCCGCGUGUGUGAAGAAGGCCUUAUGGUUGUAAAGCACUUUAAGCGAGGAGGAGGCUACUUUAGUUAAUACCUGGAGAUAGUGGACGUUACUCGCAGAAUAAGCACCGGCUAACUCUGUGCCAGCCGCCGCCGUAA